GCUGGGCAUGGUGGUGCGUGCCUGUAGUCCCAGCUGCUCUGGAGGCUGAGGUGGGAGGAUGGCUUGAGCCCAGGAGGUCAAGGCUGCAGUAAGCUGUGAUGGCACCGCUGCACUCCAGCCUGGGCAACAGAGCAAGACUUUGUCUCUA
Molecule: unclassified non-coding RNA, 148 nt
Organism: Macaca fascicularis (crab-eating macaque)
Lineage: Eukaryota; Metazoa; Chordata; Mammalia; Primates; Cercopithecidae
Rfam family: Metazoan signal recognition particle RNA
About the family: The signal recognition particle (SRP) is a universally conserved ribonucleoprotein. It is involved in the co-translational targeting of proteins to membranes.
Source: Ensembl